AGCUCUUUUGUCAGGGAAGAAACGGGUGGAGCUAAUAUCUCUGCCUAAUGACGGUACCUGAAGAAUAAGCACCGGCUAACUACGUGCCAGCAGCCGCGGUAAUACGUAGGGUGCAAGCGUUAAUCGGAAUUACUGGGCGUAAAGCGUGCGCAGGCGGUUUUGUAAGUCUGUCGUGAAAUCCCCGGGCUCAACCUGGGAAUUGCGAUGGAGACUGCAAGGCUAGAAUCUGGCAGAGGGGGGUAGAAUUCCACGUGUAGCAGUGAAAUGCGUAGAGAUGUGGAGGAACACCGAUGGCGAAGGCAGCCCCCUGGGUCAAGAUUGACGCUCAUGCACGAAAGCGUGGGGAGCAAACAGGAUUAGAUACCCUGGUAGUCCACGCCCUAAACGAUGUCUACUAGUUGUCGGGUUUUAAUUAACUUGGUAACGCAGCUAACGCGUGAAGUAGACCGCCUGGGGAGUACGGUCGCAAGAUUAAAACUCAAAGGAAUUGACGGGGACCCGCACAAGCGGUGGAUGAUGUGGAUUAAUUCGAUGCAACGCGAAAAACCUUACCUACCCUUGACAUGGCAGGAAUCCCGGAGAGAUUCGGGAGUGCUCGAAAGAGAACCUGCACACAGGUGCUGCAUGGCUGUCGUCAGCUC
Molecule: ribosomal RNA, 641 nt
Filed under: uncultured beta proteobacterium
Lineage: Bacteria; Pseudomonadati; Pseudomonadota; Betaproteobacteria
Description: bacterial SSU rRNA
Rfam family: Bacterial small subunit ribosomal RNA
Source: RNAcentral